RNAcentral lists this ribosomal RNA (648 nucleotides) under Marinobacter nauticus. RNAcentral's name for it is "bacterial SSU rRNA". It matches the Rfam family "Bacterial small subunit ribosomal RNA", at positions 93 to 738 of the family's 1533-position model. The record is from RNAcentral. Lineage: Bacteria; Pseudomonadati; Pseudomonadota; Gammaproteobacteria; Pseudomonadales; Marinobacteraceae.
GAGCGGCGGACGGGUGAGUAAUGCUUAGGAAUCUGCCCAGUAGUGGGGGAUAGCCCGGGGAAACCCGGAUUAAUACCGCAUACGUCCUACGGGAGAAAGCAGGGGAUCUUCGGACCUUGCGCUAUUGGAUGAGCCUAAGUCGGAUUAGCUAGUUGGUGGGGUAAAGGCCUACCAAGGCGACGAUCCGUAGCUGGUCUGAGAGGAUGAUCAGCCACAUCGGGACUGAGACACGGCCCGAACUCCUACGGGAGGCAGCAGUGGGGAAUAUUGGACAAUGGGGGCAACCCUGAUCCAGCCAUGCCGCGUGUGUGAAGAAGGCUUUCGGGUUGUAAAGCACUUUCAGUAGGGAGGAAAACCUUAUGGUUAAUACCCAUGAGGCUUGACGUUACCUACAGAAGAAGCACCGGCUAACUCCGUGCCAGCAGCCGCGGUAAUACGGAGGGUGCAAGCGUUAAUCGGAAUUACUGGGCGUAAAGCGCGCGUAGGUGGUUUGGUAAGCGAGAUGUGAAAGCCCCGGGCUUAACCUGGGAACGGCAUUUCAACUGUCAGACUAGAGUGUGGUAGAGGGUAGUGGAAUUUCCUGUGUAGCGGUGAAAUGCGUAGAUAUAGGAAGGAACACCAGUGGCGAAGGCGGCUACCUGGACCAAC